RNAcentral lists this ribosomal RNA (413 nucleotides) under uncultured bacterium. Its description in RNAcentral is "bacterial SSU rRNA". It matches the Rfam family "Bacterial small subunit ribosomal RNA", at positions 33 to 490 of the family's 1533-position model. The record is from RNAcentral.
UACGCUGGCGGCACGCCUAAUACAUGCAAGUCGAACGGAGUAGCAAUACUUAGUGGCAGACGGGUGAGUAACAUGUAGGUAUCUGCCCUUUGGCCUGGAAUAACACGAGGAAACUUGUGCUAAUACCGGAUAAGUCUUUACGGAGAAAGCUUUAUGCACCAAUGGAUGAGCCUGCACUUGAUUAGUUUGUUGGUGGGGUAAUGGCCUACCAAGACUGUGAUCAAUAGCUGAUUUGAGAGGAUGAUCAGCCACAUUGGGACUGAGACACGGCCCAAACUCCUACGGGAGGCAGCAGUGGGGAAUCUUGCACAAUGGAGGAAACUCUGAUGCAGCGAUGCCGCGUGAGUGAAGAAGGCCCUUGGGUUGUAAAGCUCUUUCGUCGGGGAAGAAAAUGACUGUACCCGAAUAAGAAG